CCUACGGGGGGCAGCAGUGAGGAAUAUUGGUCAAUGGACGAGAGUCUGAACCAGCCAAGUAGCGUGAAGGAUGACUGCCCUAUGGGUUGUAAACUUCUUUUAUAAAGGAAUAAAACGAGGCACGUGUGCCUUUUUGCAUGUACUUUAUGAAUAAGGAUCGGCUAACUCCGUGCCAGCAGCCGCGGUAAUACGGAGGAUCCGAGCGUUAUCCGGAUUUAUUGGGUUUAAAGGGAGCGUAGAUGGGUUGUUAAGUCAGUUGUGAAAGUUUGCGGCUCAACCGUAAAAUUGCAAUUGAUACUGGCAGUCUUGAGUACAGUUGAGGUAGGCGGAAUUCGUGGUGUAGCGGUGAAAUGCUUAGAUAUCACGAAGAACCCCGAUUGUGAAGGCAGCUUACUAAACUGUAACUGACAUUGAUGCUCGAAAGUGUGGGUAGCAAACAGGAUUAGAUACCCUUGUAGUC
This 460-nucleotide ribosomal RNA is filed under the name uncultured bacterium. RNAcentral's name for it is "partial 16S ribosomal RNA". It matches the Rfam family "Bacterial small subunit ribosomal RNA", at positions 338 to 795 of the family's 1533-position model. The record is from RNAcentral.